ACUUAAAUAGUUUAAUGAAAAUUUUAAUUUGUGGAAUUAGAGAUAGCGAUAGUUUUUAGGUA
RNAcentral lists this transfer RNA (62 nucleotides) under Scolytinae sp. BMNH 1040327. RNAcentral's name for it is "tRNA-His". Lineage: Eukaryota; Metazoa; Arthropoda; Insecta; Coleoptera; Curculionidae. The record is from RNAcentral.